RNAcentral lists this ribosomal RNA (941 nucleotides) under Atheta crassicornis. RNAcentral's name for it is "SSU rRNA". It matches the Rfam family "Eukaryotic small subunit ribosomal RNA", at positions 439 to 1309 of the family's 1831-position model. The record is from RNAcentral. Lineage: Eukaryota; Metazoa; Arthropoda; Insecta; Coleoptera; Staphylinidae.
AAUUACCCACUCCCAGCACGGGGAGGUAGUGACGAAAAAUAACGAUACGGGACUCAUCCGAGGCCCCGUAAUCGGAAUGAGUACACUUUAAAACUUUUCCCGAGGAUCAAUUGGAGGGUAAGUCUGGUGCCAGCAGCCGCGGUAAUUCCAGCUCCAAUAGCGUAUAUUAAAGUUGUUGCGGUUAAAAAGCUCGUAGUCGAAUCUGUGUCCCGCGCCGCUGGUUCAUCGCUCGCGGUGUUCAACUGGCGUGUCUCGCGGGACGUCCUGCCGGUGGGCGCUCGUAUCGUUUCGGCGGUGCGUGGCCCAACUCGUAGCCGUCUCGCGCGGUUGCGAAUCCCAUCGCGGUGCUCUUUAUUGAGUGUCGAGGUGGGCCGGCACGUUUACUUUGAACAAAUUAGAGUGCUUAAAGCAGGCCAAUUUUGCCUGAAUAUUGUGUGCAUGGAAUAAUGGAAUAGGACCUCGGUUCUAUUUUGUUGGUUUUCGGAACCCCGAGGUAAUGAUUAAUAGGAACGGAUGGGGGCAUUCGUAUUGCGACGUUAGAGGUGAAAUUCUUGGAUCGUCGCAAGACGGACAGAAGCGAAAGCAUUUGCCAAAAACGCUUUCAUUGAUCAAGAACGAAAGUUAGAGGUUCGAAGGCGAUCAGAUACCGCCCUAGUUCUAACCAUAAACGAUGCCAGCUAGCGAUCCGCCGACGUUCCUCCGAUGACUCGGCGGGCAGCUUCCGGGAAACCAAAGCUUUUGGGUUCCGGGGGAAGUAUGGUUGCAAAGCUGAAACUUAAAGGAAUUGACGGAAGGGCACCACCAGGAGUGGAGCCUGCGGCUUAAUUUGACUCAACACGGGACACCUUACCAGGCCCGGACACCGGAAGGAUUGACAGAUUGAGAGCUCUUUCUUGAUUCGGUGGGUGGUGGUGCAUGGCCGUUCUUAGUUGGUGGGGCGA